GAACGAGAAAUCUUUAGCUUGCUAGAGAAAGUAAAGUGGCGCACGGGUGAGUAACGCGUGGGUAAUCUGCCUCCGAAUCGGGGAUAACAUUGCGAAAGCGAUGCUAAUACCGGAUAGAAUCUGGUUGGCUUAGGUGAACCGGAUCAAAGGUGGUCUCUUUAUAAAAGCUACCGUUUGGAGAUGAGCUCGCGUACCAUUAGCUAGUUGGUGAGGUAAAGGCUCACCAAGGCGACGAUGGUUAGCUGGUCUGAGAGGAUGAUCAGCCACACCGGAACUGGAACACGGUCCGGACUCCUACGGGAGGCAGCAGUGAGGAAUUUUGCGCAAUGGGGGAAACCCUGACGCAGCAACGCCGCGUGAGUGAUGAAGGCUUUCGGGUCGUAAAGCUCUGUCAGGUGGGAAGAACCCACCAAGUGUUAAGACCACUUGGUGCUGACGGUACCACCGAAGGAAGCACCGGCUAACUCCGUGCCAGCAGCCGCGGUAAUACGGGGGGUGCGAGCGUUAUUCGGAAUCAUUGGGCGUAAAGGGCGCGCAGGCGGUUUUGUAAGUCAGAUGUGAAAUCCCGGGGCUUAACCCCGGAAGUGCAUAUGAAACUAUGAGACUUGAGUAUGGGAGAGGGAAGCGGAAUUCCUGGUGUAGCGGUGA
RNAcentral lists this ribosomal RNA (648 nucleotides) under uncultured organism. Its description in RNAcentral is "bacterial SSU rRNA". It matches the Rfam family "Bacterial small subunit ribosomal RNA", at positions 64 to 684 of the family's 1533-position model. The record is from RNAcentral.